RNAcentral lists this ribosomal RNA (169 nucleotides) under Solocisquama stellulata. Its description in RNAcentral is "partial 12S rRNA". Lineage: Eukaryota; Metazoa; Chordata; Actinopteri; Lophiiformes; Ogcocephalidae. The record is from RNAcentral.
CACCGCGGUUAUACGAGAGGCCCAAAUUGAAAGAUUUCGGCGUAAAGCGUGGUUAAGGCCAAACUAAGAAUAAAGCCGAAUGUGCUCAAAGCUGUUAUACGCACCUGAGAAUAAGAAGCCCAACUACGAAAGUGACUUUAUAAUACCUGACCCCACGAAAGCUAAGACA